This 429-nucleotide ribosomal RNA is filed under the name Gemmatimonadota bacterium. Its description in RNAcentral is "Gemmatimonadetes bacterium partial 16S ribosomal RNA". It matches the Rfam family "Bacterial small subunit ribosomal RNA", at positions 355 to 776 of the family's 1533-position model. The record is from RNAcentral. Lineage: Bacteria; Pseudomonadati; Gemmatimonadota.
UAGGGAAUCUUCGGCAAUGGACGAAAGUCUGACCGAGCAACGCCGCGUGAGUGAAGAAGGUUCUCGGAUCGUAAAACUCUGUUGUUAGAGAAGAACAAGGACGUUAGUAACUGAACGUCCCCUGACGGUAUCUAACCAGAAAGCCACGGCUAACUACGUGCCAGCAGCCGCGGUAAUACGUAGGAGGCAAGCGUUGUCCGGAUUUAUUGGGCGUAAAGCGAGCGCAGGCGGUUUCUUAAGUCUGAUGUGAAAGCCCCCGGCUCAACCGGGGAGGGUCAUUGGAAACUGGGAGACUUGAGUGCAGAAGAGGAGAGUGGAAUUCCAUGUGUAGCGGUGAAAUGCGUAGAUAUAUGGAGGAACACCAGUGGCGAAGGCGGCUCUCUGGUCUGUAACUGACGCUGAGGCUCGAAAGCGUGGGGAGCAAACAGG